RNAcentral lists this ribosomal RNA (348 nucleotides) under uncultured Glomeromycotina. Its description in RNAcentral is "SSU rRNA". It matches the Rfam family "Eukaryotic small subunit ribosomal RNA", at positions 569 to 921 of the family's 1831-position model. The record is from RNAcentral. Lineage: Eukaryota; Fungi; Glomeromycota.
AGCAGCCGCGGUAAUUCCAGCUCCAAUAGCGUAUAUUAAAGUUGUUGCAGUUAAAAAGCUCGUAGUUGAAUUUCGGGGUCAGUAGGUUGGUCGUGCCACUGGUACGUACUGGUCUCACUGAUUCCUCCUUCCUGAUGAACCGUAAUGCCAUUAAUUUGGUGUUGCGGGGAAACUGGACUGUUACUUUGAAAAAUUAGAGUGUUUAAAGCAGGCUAACGCUUGAAUACAUUAGCAUGGAAUAAUGAAAUAGGACGUUCGAUCCUAUUUUGUUGGUUUCUAGGAUUGACGUAAUGAUUAAUAGGGAUAGUUGGGGGCAUUAGUAUUCAAUUGUCAGAGGUGAAAAUUCUU